AUUCUGCCCAUGCGGGGAAGGAUGAGAAGCUUCGACCAAGGUUCGACUCGAGCGCCAGCGAGAGAGCGUUGCCGCAGGCAACGACCCGAAGGGCGAAGCGCGCAGCGCUGAG
Molecule: small RNA, 112 nt
Filed under: Escherichia coli
Lineage: Bacteria; Pseudomonadati; Pseudomonadota; Gammaproteobacteria; Enterobacterales; Enterobacteriaceae
Description: partial RtT sRNA
Rfam family: RtT RNA
About the family: This family represents a bacterial cis-regulatory element known as RtT RNA. The exact function of RtT is unknown although it is thought that it may be involved in changing the cellular response in relation to amino acid starvation.
Source: RNAcentral